GACGAACGCUGGCGGCGUGCUUAACACAUGCAAGUCGAACGGAAAGGCCUGCUUUCCCUUGUGGAUUGCGGGUACUCGAGUGGCGAACGGGUGAGUAACACGUGAGUGAUCUGCCCCCAACUUGGGUAUAAGCCUGGGAAACUGGGUCUAAUUCCCGAUAGGACUGCAGGGUGGUGCCUGUGGUGGAAAACGAUUUUCCAGUGGUUGGGGAUGAGCUCGCGGCCUAUCAGCUUGUUGGUGGGGUAAUGGCCUACCAAGGCGGCGACGGGUAGCCGGCCUGAGAGGGGGGACGGCAACAUUGGGACUGAGAUACGGCCCAGACUCCUACGGGAGGCAGCAGUGGGGAAUAAUGCACAAUGGGCGGAAGCCUGAUGCAGCGACGCCGCGUGGGGGAUGACGGCCUUCGGGUUGUAAACUCCUUUCGACCGCGAGGAAGCCACCUGGUUGGAAGGGUGGUGACGGUAGUGGUAGAAGAAGCACCGGCUAACUACGUG
RNAcentral lists this ribosomal RNA (494 nucleotides) under uncultured bacterium. Its description in RNAcentral is "partial 16S ribosomal RNA". It matches the Rfam family "Bacterial small subunit ribosomal RNA", at positions 28 to 507 of the family's 1533-position model. The record is from RNAcentral.